RNAcentral lists this small RNA (2998 nucleotides) under Arabidopsis thaliana (thale cress). Its description in RNAcentral is "ATSL162900". The record is from RNAcentral. Lineage: Eukaryota; Viridiplantae; Streptophyta; Magnoliopsida; Brassicales; Brassicaceae.
UUCUUUAAACUUUUCACCACCCUUGCUAACCCAAGUAGCUGCUUCCAUCAUUGAAGUAGUUUCCCUUGCCCUUAACCAAACCUUUCUUUCGAGCCCUGUUAUAUAUCGUGUGCGAUUGUGAGGCCUGUUUCAGGAUUGAGCUUGGAAGAAAGUGUUAGGUUUGAGCCGACAAGAGUAGUGUCUCAUGUAGUUCUAGUCCACGUUUUCUGGGCUAGAUAGGACAAGGUGGGUGUCUAUUCUUGAAGUGGGGAUCGAGUAUAUGAGAAAAUAAGAGAGAAAGGAAAUGUUGAUGUUCUUAGGAGAAGGAAGUUGAGAAACAAGUUAGUCUAGUAAUGGAUUUUGGGGAACUAAAAAAAAAAUAGGCUCACAACAAAAGAAAAAAAGUCUAGAAAAGUCUUGAUCACAAGAAGAUAACAUGAGCCAUAGUUGUCAAAGAAAACCAAAGUCCACUAGAUCCAACAAAGUAAAAGAAACUUCUCCUUAGAAUAAGAGUCAAAGAAAAGAAAGAGUGGUUUGAUCCAAGAUAAGAAUGAGAAAAAAAUGCCUUGAGUGCAAAGGGUAGAACUAGGAUCAUAUUCUGGGCUUAAGGGUAGUACCAUCUGCUGGUGUAUACACUGUGUAUGUUUUUGGGUAGAUGGGAUACUAUUCUUGUAUGCAUAGGUUGGCUCUUACCUUUAGCAUUCUCCUAAAGCUCAGUCCAUUUCUUUUCAGAGUCCCCUGUUACUAAACUUGAACCACCAGAAAGGGACCAUCUGUGUCUCUUGACCUUCACCUUAGCCAAAUGAGUUCAUUGAUGAUGCAUAGCUUGAUUCACGUUCCUAAUCUAAUGAAUGUUAAAGGGAUUGGUAGAUUUGAAAGCAUGUGUAGGUCGAGUAUAAGAGUGGGAUUGAACUAUAAUAAGGCAUGGCUAACGUUUUUGAGUAGAGUUCGAUAAUAUGGCAUCCUAGAACUGCCAACUUGGACAUUGAUUCUAUCUGAUUUAUUUGAUGCUUUGGUUCUGAAUCCCCACCUUCAAACCUCUCCUUCAGCUUAUGUCUACUUGUUUGCUUGAGGGCAAGCAAAGACUAAGUUUGGAGGAGUUGAUAUGUGUAUAAUUUGCAUGUUUUACACAUCCUUUAAUCACCAUUUUGAGUCUAGUUUCAUCCAUCUUUCAUAGCAUUCACCAUCAUUUUCGUACAUUUUGCAUCUUUAGUCGAGUCUAGGACUAAUCUUGCAUACAUUCUACAUUCUGGAGUUGUUUCAGGUGUUUUGGAGCUAUUGGUGCUCAGAAAGAGGGAAAACAGAACAGAAAGUCACACUUCCACCAAACAUACUCGAUCACCAGUAGCUGAGAGGGAAGUAGUCAGCUAAGCAGUCCAUCCAGACACUUCUACUCGAUCAUAGAGGAGACUAGGCAGUCCAUUCUGCCAGAUAUACUCGACCGCAGAGGAGAGGAGGCAAUCCAUUCUACAAUUCUACUCUAUCGCAGAGGCGACCAUGCAGUCCACUUUGCCAGUCCACCAGUUAUACUCGAUCGUAGAGGUGAAGAACCAGUACAUCCUGACUGCUGACACACUUACUCGAUCACAGAGGCCAAGAAGCAGCCCAGAUCAUUCUGUCAACCAACCUACUCGACCACCACCUUGACCCUCUUAUCAAUCCGCACUCAACCAGACAACCUGAGCAUCGAAAAGAGAAGAGAAGAGAAGGCCCAUUCGAAGCCCAUUCGAAACCCAUUCGAAGCCCAUCAAGAAGCCCACUUUGAGCCGACACUCUUGAUCACGCCGUUCAUGGGCCGUUAAGUGGGCUCGAAGCCCGCUUUCUUAUUUUAGUAUAAAUAAGUCUCUAAGGGUUUCGCCCUGGGACAUGCACUUUUAGAGACACGAAUUUUGCACUAUUAUUCAGCAGCCGCUUUUCAUUCCUGCAAUUUUAUAUUUCGAUUUUUCUUCUAAGUCAUUCAGAUUUUGCUUUCAUUUGCUUGUUCAUCUUUCGUUUCUAUGUUAUUGUCUUUAAGCAUGUUGUCAGAGUAGUGACUCAGAAUUCUUAAGGAUGGGUUAGAGUAGUUGUGGAAUCCGUAGUCUGUAGAAUGGUUAAGUCUUAGAAUUGAUUGAAUCCCUUCAGGACUAGUUGUGUUUACUGCUUAUUUCUUUCUAAUCAACUGGAAUUCGAUCCCAAGCAUUCCCGCACCCAGAAGGUGUUCUAUGGAAUGCUUGAUCCACUAGUUCCUGAGAUAUUCGUCUCUAUCCCAAGGGAUUGGCCGUUUAGAGCGUUUAUUGACUUUAUCAGUCUGUUCUUAUUGCCUGCAUAAUUAGAUUCCGUUAAUGGGAAUUAGUCUGGGCUAGCUUUGCUUGAGGAUUUCUAUCAAGGGAGUGAAUUGAUCUGUUGUUGAACCUGUUGUCUAGGGAUACCUUGAUUGCGCUUGUUAACCAUUCGGAUAGGCUAGGAUACCACUCUAUUCGAUUACCCCAUCCUUAGGAAUUUCUCGUCUAUCUGAUUUCUCUGUUUUAUCGUUAUCGCUUAUUCGUUCUCAUUGCCUGUUUCUUCGUUUUUGCAAUUACUCGAUCAACUUACUUGACCACACCCAGUGUCUGGUAACAGACUGUGCAGUCGAGUACAGUUGUCUCAUUUCCUGUCUGUUACUCGACCAGAAUACUCGACCACACCCAGUGUCUGGCAACAGACUAUGCAGUCAAGUAUAUCUGUUUCAUAUCCUGUCUGUUACUCGACCACAUCCUACUUCUGGCAUCAGCCUGUUGUGGUCGAGUGAUUUUAGUAAUUCUAUUAUUGUUUCUGUUUUCUGCAUGUUCGCUUAGGACUGUUAGAAACCCCAAAACUGUUAUUGCUUGGCUUGACUUAGUGACUUUUGAUCACAUCUCAUCUGUUUGCAUCACACCCAUUUGGAUUGACACCUAAAAUACUACAACGACAUGAUUGGUGUUUUAGGAUAAUUGACCAUAAAAAACUACUAUCAGAUAACUCCCAAAGAUUUAAUCUAAUCCUUCUCAAAACUAAAUAACUU